CAGUCGCCGCGGCAAUACCGAGGGUGCGAGCGUUAAUCGGAUUUACUGGGCGUAAAGCGUGCGUAGGCGGCUUUUUAAGUCGGAUGUGAAAUCCCUGAGCUUAACUUAGGAAUUGCAUUCGAUACUGGGAAGCUAGAGUAUGGGAGAGGAUGGUAGAAUUCCAGGUGUAGCGGUGAAAUGCGUAGAGAUCUGGAGGAAUACCGAUGGCGAAGGCAGCCAUCUGGCCUAAUACUGACGCUGAGGUACGAAAGCAUGGGGAGCAAACAGGAUUAGAUACCCGUGUAGUCCCUGUCUCUUAUAC
This 301-nucleotide ribosomal RNA is filed under the name uncultured bacterium. RNAcentral describes it as "partial 16S ribosomal RNA". It matches the Rfam family "Bacterial small subunit ribosomal RNA", at positions 509 to 807 of the family's 1533-position model. The record is from RNAcentral.